AAUCCAUAGGUUAAUGAGGCGAACCGGGGGAACUGAAACAUCUAAGUACCCCGAGGAAAAGAAAUCAACCGAGAUUCCCCCAGUAGCGGCGAGCGAACGGGGAGGAGCCCAGAGCCUGAAUCAGCAUGUGUGUUAGUGGAAGCGUCUGGAAAGGCGCGCGAUACAGGGUGACAGCCCCGUACACAAAAGCGCAUGUGCUGUGAGCUCGAUGAGUAGGGCGGGACACGUGGUAUCCUGUCUGAAUAUGGGGGGACCAUCCUCCAAGGCUAAAUACUCCUGACUGACCGAUAGUGAACCAGUACCGUGAGGGAAAGGCGAAAAGAACCCCGGCGAGGGGAGUGAAAAAGAACCUGAAACCGUGUACGUACAAGCAGUGGGAGCACCCUUCGGGGUGUGACUGCGUACCUUUUGUAUAAUGGGUCAGCGACUUAUAUUCUGUAGCAAGGUUAACCGAAUAGGGGAGCCGGAGGGAAACCGAGUCUUAAUUGGGCGUUAAGUUGCAGGGUAUAGACCCGAAACCCGGUGAUCUAGCCAUGGGCAGGUUGAAGGUUGGGUAACACUAACUGGAGGACCGAACCGACUAAUGUUGAAAAAUUAGCGGAUGACCUGUGGCUGGGGGUGAAAGGCCAAUCAAACCGGGAGAUAGCUGGUUCUCCCCGAAAGCUAUUUAGGUAGCGCCUCGUGAAUUCAUCUCCGGGGGUAGAGCACUGUUUCGGCUAGGGGGCCAUCCCGGCUUACCAACCCGAUGCAAACUGCGAAUACCGGAGAAUGUUAUCACGGGAGACACACGGCGGGUGCUAACGUCCGUCGUGAAGAGGGAAACAACCCAGACCGCCAGCUAAGGUCCCAAAGUCAUGGUUAAGUGGGAAACGAUGUGGGAAGGCCCAGACAGCCAGGAUGUUGGCUUAGAAGCAGCCAUCAUUUAAAGAAAGCGUAAUAGCUCACUGGUCGAGUCGGCCUGCGCGGAAGAUGUAACGGGGCUAAACCAUGCACCGAAGCUGCGGCAGCGACACUGUGUGUUGUUGGGUAGGGGAGCGUUCUGUAAGCCUGUGAAGGUGUGUUGUGAGGCAUGCUGGAGGUAUCAGAAGUGCGAAUGCUGACAUAAGUAACGAUAAAGCGGGUGAAAAGCCCGCUCGCCGGAAGACCAAGGGUUCCUGUCCAACGUUAAUCGGGGCAGGGUGAGUCGACCCCUAAGGCGAGGCCGAAAGGCGUAGUCGAUGGGAAACGGGUUAAUAUUCCCGUACUUGGUGUUACUGCGAAGGGGGGACGGAGAAGGCUAUGUUGGCCGGGCGACGGUUGUCCCGGUUUAAGCGUGUAGGUGUGUGUUCCAGGUAAAUCCGGUUCACUUUAACACUGAGGCGUGAUGACGAGGCACUACGGUGCUGAAGCAACAAAUGCCCUGCUUCCAGGAAAAGCCUCUAAGCAUCAGGUAACAUCAAAUCGUACCCCAAACCGACACAGGUGGUCAGGUAGAGAAUACCAAGGCGCUUGAGAGAACUCGGGUGAAGGAACUAGGCAAAAUGGUGCCGUAACUUCGGGAGAAGGCACGCUGACACGUAGGUGAAGUGAUUUACUCAUGGAGCUGAAGUCAGUCGAAGAUACCAGCUGGCUGCAACUGUUUAUUAAAAACACAGCACUGUGCAAACACGAAAGUGGACGUAUACGGUGUGACGCCUGCCCGGUGCCGGAAGGUUAAUUGAUGGGGUCAGCGCAAGCGAAGCUCCUGAUCGAAGCCCCGGUAAACGGCGGCCGUAACUAUAACGGUCCUAAGGUAGCGAAAUUCCUUGUCGGGUAAGUUCCGACCUGCACGAAUGGCGUAAUGAUGGCCAGGCUGUCUCCACCCGAGACUCAGUGAAAUUGAACUCGCUGUGAAGAUGCAGUGUACCCGCGGCAAGACGGAAAGACCCCGUGAACCUUUACUAUAGCUUGACACUGAACAUUGAGCCUUGAUGUGUAG
This 1957-nucleotide ribosomal RNA is filed under the name Salmonella enterica subsp. enterica serovar Virchow. RNAcentral's name for it is "partial 23S ribosomal RNA". It matches the Rfam family "Bacterial large subunit ribosomal RNA", at positions 161 to 2141 of the family's 2925-position model. Lineage: Bacteria; Pseudomonadati; Pseudomonadota; Gammaproteobacteria; Enterobacterales; Enterobacteriaceae. The record is from RNAcentral.